UAACAACUCACCUGCCGAAUGAAUUAGCCCUGAAAAUGGAUGGCGCUCAAGCGGGCAGCCGACACUGCACCAUUUAAGCUAUUUAUGUCUUAAAUGAGUAGGAGGAACGUGGCGGUUGUACAGAAGCAUCUCCGCAAGGAGGUGUGGAACGGCCGCUAGUGCAGAUCUUGGUGGUAGUAGCAAAUAUUCAAAUGCGAUCCUUGAAGGGUCAAGCGGGGAAGGGUUCCACGCGAUCAUUGAUUGAGCGUGGGUUAGUCGGUCCUGAGCCGUCUGGCAAUUUCUAGCUAUCGGCGAAAGGGAAACAGGUAAAGAUUCCUGUACUUGACAUAGUUUGGGUAACCUAUCCUUACCGGAUGACUCCCAGAAUGGCGUGGUUGCAGUCCCCUGACAGAGAUCUCUUUUCUGUUUCACAUCCAGUGGGCCCCGAAAUCGGUUCGUCCUGAGUAGGGGUCCUUGCCUUUGGUCUGGUAGAGCAGCGGGAUUUUUUCCGUUGUAUGGGUUGACUCCUGCGUCCCUUGAAGAGCUGGGCCCGGGUCUGUGGAACUUCGGUUUUGCAGGCGGGAAAUUCUAUGUUCAACCCGUACCCAUAACCGCAUCAGGUCCCCAAGGUGAACAGCCUCUGUCCAAUAUGAAUAAU
This 637-nucleotide ribosomal RNA is filed under the name Ululania stellata. RNAcentral describes it as "LSU rRNA". It matches the Rfam family "Eukaryotic large subunit ribosomal RNA", at positions 1283 to 1899 of the family's 3401-position model. Lineage: Eukaryota; Rhodophyta; Florideophyceae; Ceramiales; Rhodomelaceae. The record is from RNAcentral.